Molecule: unclassified non-coding RNA, 253 nt
Filed under: uncultured Cryomorphaceae bacterium
Lineage: Bacteria; Pseudomonadati; Bacteroidota; Flavobacteriia; Flavobacteriales; Cryomorphaceae
Description: contains 16S-23S intergenic spacer region
Rfam family: Bacterial small subunit ribosomal RNA
Source: RNAcentral
UACGGAGGGUGCAAGCGUUAUCCGGAUUUAUUGGGUUUAAAGGGUCCGUAGGCGGACAAUUAAGUCAGUGGUGAAAUCCUGCGGCUCAACCGUAGAACUGCCAUUGAUACUGGUUGUCUAGAGUAUAGUUGAGGUGGGCGGAAUGUGACAUGUAGCGGUGAAAUGCAUAGAUAUGUCACAGAACACCUAUUGCGAAGGCAGCUCACUAAGCUAUUACUGACGCUGAGGGACGAAAGCGUGGGGAGCGAACAGG